RNAcentral lists this ribosomal RNA (228 nucleotides) under uncultured bacterium. RNAcentral describes it as "partial 16S ribosomal RNA". It matches the Rfam family "Bacterial small subunit ribosomal RNA", at positions 103 to 334 of the family's 1533-position model. The record is from RNAcentral.
CGGGUGAGUAAUGUAUGGGGAUCUGCCUGAUGGCGGGGGAUAACUACUGGAAACGGUAGCUAAUACCGCAUAAUGUCUACGGACCAAAGCGGGGGACCUUCGGGCCUCUUGCCAUCGGAUGUGCCCAGAUGGGAUUAGCUAGUAGGUGGGGUAACGGCUCACCUAGGCGACGAUCCCUAGCUGGUCUGAGAGGAUGACCAGCCACACUGGAACUGAGACACGGUCCAG